GGGGGUUUCAAUUGAGGCGGGCUGGACCUCUCGGGGUUACAGCCUUGCUGAAUUAUUCACCCUUGUCUUUUGCGUACUUCUUGUUUCCUUGGUGGGUUCGCCCACCACUAGGACAAACAUAAACCUUUUGUAAUUGCAAUCAGCGUCAGUAACAAAUUAAUAAUUACAACUUUCAACAACGGAUCUCUUGGUUCUGGCAUCGAUGAAGAACGCAGCGAAAUGCGAUAAGUAGUGUGAAUUGCAGAAUUCAGUGAAUCAUCGAAUCUUUGAACGCACAUUGCGCCCUUUGGUAUUCCAAAGGGCAUGCCUGUUCGAGCGUCAUUUGUACCCUCAAGCUUUGCUUGGUGUUGGGCGUCUUGUCUCUAGCUUUGCUGGAGACUCGCCUUAAAGUAAUUGGCAGCCGGCCUACUGGUUUCGGAGCGCAGCACAAGUCGCACUCUCUAUCAGCAAAGGUCUAGCAUCCAUUAAGCCUUUUUUUCAACUUUUGACCUCGGAUCAGGUAGGGAUACCCGCUGAACUUAAGCAUAUCAAUAAGCCGGAGGAA
This 544-nucleotide ribosomal RNA is filed under the name Alternaria sp. RNAcentral's name for it is "eukaryotic LSU rRNA". The stretch from base 168 to 321 matches the Rfam family "5.8S ribosomal RNA". Lineage: Eukaryota; Fungi; Ascomycota; Dothideomycetes; Pleosporales; Pleosporaceae. The record is from RNAcentral.